RNAcentral lists this long non-coding RNA (39781 nucleotides) under Coffea arabica (coffee). Its description in RNAcentral is "long non-coding RNA (CARA_LNC005070)". Lineage: Eukaryota; Viridiplantae; Streptophyta; Magnoliopsida; Gentianales; Rubiaceae. The record is from RNAcentral.
GAAGAAAGUGGUGCUUAGUUGCUUCAUCUCUUGAGAUUACAAGGUGAGUUGUUAAGAACUUUUCCCUUUAGCUUUGCUAAUGUUCAAUUGGUGGCUUUAGUGGCUUAAUAUGAUGACAUAUGGUGUGAUUAUGGUUUGUUUAUGGUUGGAAGUGAAGUUAUGAUGGAUUUUGAUUUAUUAUUGUUAUUUUUCUGUUUUGUAUGAUACUCAUGGUUUGGUCAUGGAUUGAGGGCUUAGUAUAGUGUAAUAUGGAGUGAAUAAAUGUUGGAUACGAUUGGUUGCGGAAAUUUCUGGUUAGCACAGAAAAUGACGGUUUAGGGUUUUCAAACUUCCCUAUUCUGUCCGGUACUGUUGGACCUAGUUAGAGGCUGAAUUAGCCUUAGGUUAAAACAUGCAAGUUGUGGAGAAUGAUGUUUUAUAGUUGCUUGCAAAAUUUCAACCCAAUCUGAGCAACAUAGCCUAUGAAAAGACUGAAAUACCCCUGCUGCCCUGUUUCUGUCCGAAACUGAAAAUCAGCUUUGGUAAUUGGUUAAUUUGAUUGGGAAUACUACUGAUUUGGUUGUUGAUGUCUUCUUAAGAAAUAUAGCCUGGUAUCUUAGCUUUCAUAUGGCUUUGGAAUCACUUGAAUUGGACUUUGGUAGCCUGAAUUAUGGUUAUUUAACAAGAAUGCUAUUCGUUAACCUGUUUAUGCGGUUCUGGUUUGGUACAUUGAACUUUUGACCUAGUUUCACUGCAAACUGUACUGAGUUGCCUUCUUGAACAUUGUAGCCCUUUCUCUUAGUUUUGAAACGGUGUAAAUUGUACCCCCAAUCCGAUAAGUGUAGCUCCAGUUGUGUCUGUUCCGCUAAAUGACGUCAAAACUGUCUUUUGGUUUUAGGGUUUAUAAUUGGGGCUUUUCUAGGAUUUCUUUGUUGCGCAACCAUUUGGUUGUUUUGAAGGAUAUUGUGGCUCUAAUUAAAGGUGUUUGAUAAUCUGUGAUUGGGUGUUGAGGUUUGGUUGGAAAGUAAAGAAAGACAAGAGAAAUGCUGUCAAAAUUUUCGCGGAGCUUCUGCACAGUCUCGGAAAAUUUGCUAUAUCUUGAUGUAGGAAUGUCGGAAUUAAGUUCUGUUUGUUGCGUUCUAAACUAGAUUCAUAGAGCUAUAAACCAUGUAAAUUUCAGACCCUGCUUAUGUAUUUAUCAUUUAUGGCGAUUUUUCAAAGUUGACUGAAAUAUUGUACCUGUUCUGUCUUUCACUGGAUAAAGCGGCAAAUUGAGACUUGAAUUUGACUGACUUGCAUUCUGAAUCUUAUGAGGGUGUUCUCUGGAAAGUUAUAGCGCUUUGAAUCUAUUUUCCAACGGUAUAAACUUUUACUAAUUUAGGACUUACAAAACUUGAGAUAUGAUUUUUCAUAUAGGGUUGCACGAAACUGGAAAAUCCUGUUUUCCUAGUAUCGACCUUACUUUCAUUUUCUACUUCAAAUUUGGAGUUGGUCAGUCAUUGUAGGUAGGGCUUUGAGGUUGUUCAUGCCGUUAGGACUAAUUGUUACCUCUCACUCCGAGGUCACCUCUUUGCUUUGCAUUAAUGGUUCUUUUGACUAGGCAUAUGGCUCGUAACCGAGUCUCACUUGCGAAUUCCAUACUAGGUCUUGGAGUCGAGUCUUAAGUGUUUGCCUUGAUUGUUCUAGGAGGUGCCGACGAUUAAAGCCACACUUGGGAAGGAAACUUUUGAAAUUAUCCUUAUUUGAACUGGUGAGUGUACCACUCCCUUGCAUUGUUGCUAUUUGAGUUAUCUGUACUUGAAAUCUAUGACAUGAAUGAUUAUGAAUCCUGUUUAGUUUGAUUGAGACGAGGGUGUACUUUAUCACACUCGUUCUCUUGUCUGUGUUGUACCAACUGAAAUCUAUUACUUGUACUUGUUAUGAACUUGAGCCUGCUACUUGCACUUGUUAUAAUGUCGUUUAGAAGUGUGUCCAACGACCUUCUUGUUAAACCUGAGCUCAACCUCGUGGGGAGUUAAUUAAAUCGAGCCAUGCAAGGGCUUGGUCGAGGAAAUUGACAAUCCGUGGGUGCCUGUUUUUAUGGAAUCUUUGAGUAUUGAGACUCUUGAUUCCGGUAUACUCGAGUAUUACCAUUCCUGUUUCUAUUUAGCGUUCGGGCCCGGUAAGGGGGUAUGAUUGGUGAACUGGAUUUGACGAUAAAGUGGUGUUCUAUUGGACUGGUUUCCUUAUUUGAAAGUUGACGGAGGGUCAACGUAGUCGGAUCAAGUACUGCAACGGGGAAUUUGGGUCCUGAGAGCCACCUGUAUCCUUUUAUUUAAGUUGUUUUGUUCCUCUCCUUAUUUGAUACACCUAUGUGAUUAAUUGCGCAUGAAGUUCCUUGGUUCUUGACUGUUAUUAUUUUGGUACCUCAUUGAGCUUCUAGCUCACCCCGUUCCGUUAUCCUUGUUUUCCUUAUAGGAAACCACCUUUUGAAGACUCUGAUAUUUUGAAGCAUGAGUUGAGCUAGUUUUAGUAUUCUUUUGUAUAGCUCCUCGAUGGUUGGAAAAUCUUAAAUGUAUUUUAACCAAAAAAUUCCCUUUUGAAUUUUAAAUUUGCAACCAUGUGUAUAUAAAAGUGUUUAACCAUGUUCCUAAGUUGAUUUGGUUUGGAAAUAUUCCUUUCUAGGGUUAUCUAAAGUCGUUGUGCUUGUUUGGGUUUCGGACAGUGAAUGUUAUCUUCUCGAAGUUCUUUUGAGCGGUUGGUAGGGUUUACGCUCGUUCUGGAUCCGUAGUCCCGGCGAGAGUUGGGCAGGCGGUCCGCCGAACUCUUUGGUUCGCCUUAGGGGGAGGUGGGGCUGUCACAUUAGGGGCUGUUUUAAGGAGUUUUUCACACAAAAAAUCUAGGGUUUCUCGUGUUUGAAGAUAUAAAAUCUCCCAUCAAAACUCUUGCUUUCUUGUUUUAUUUCUUGGUUUUGAACCUUGUAGCUUCCUUAUUGUUGUUGUUGCUUGGAUUUGGUUGGCUGAAGUGGGCUCUAUGUGUGAGAUCCCGAUUCGUCCUUAAUUUUGAAUAAGGAUUAUUAGUGCUAAAUUUUGCUAUAAAAUUUGAUUUUAACGAUGAUGGUAAUUCUUUACAUGUGAUUUUGCUUUUAGAAUAAAAAAACUUUAAUUUGGAAUUUUAUUAAAACCCUAAUGGAUUUACAGCUUUGAUAUUUUUACACAAAACCCUAGUUUAUGUAUUAAUCAUAAGUUUAUGUGGUAGUAAAUAUUAUGCAUGCUAAUGUAUGUUUUCGUAUGAGUAGAUACCGGAUUCGAUUUCUUUUAUAAAUGUUAAGUAGGAUUAGAAAGUUACAAAGUCUUACACUAGUAAAUUCCCUAGUGUUUUGUUAAUUAAACAACCUUAAGUUGGGUUUAAAGCCCUUAAUUGAGCUAAUGUAAAAAGAUUGUGGUUUAGUUGCUUUUAUGUGGAAUAAGGAAUAAUUAAGGAUGGGUGAUUAAGAUAAUAAGGUGAUUAUUGAAAUGAUUAAGUGUGACAAAAUAUUUUGGAUUAGAAUAAGUUGUAUCCUAUGGAGUUAAGUGCAAGAGUUCCAAACAUUUGUGGGCAAGAGUGUGAGAAAACAAAAAGGAAGUUGCAAGGACUAGGAAGUGAAUAAUCAUAUUUUAUGUGAUUGGUUGUUUGGGAAAUAUCUCUUAUGGUUGAUGACUAAGCUUAUGACUAAGCAUAAUUCUAGAAUAUACAAGAGAAAACCAAGCUAAUAAACAACAAAAUAGCAAAAGAAAAAGAGAGAGAGAGAGAGCCAGAUUUGAGAGGGAAGAAAAAGGGAGAGAAAAGCUUUUGUUUCUUGCAUUUUUUUUUCAUCAACCUUCAGUUUGGAUCUUGGAGGAACAACUUGGAGCUUGAGUUUUGGAAGAUCAACCUAAGAAACUUGCAACUAGAAGGCGGUGACGGGCUAGACGGAGCCGGUGGGGCCCACUAGCUAACGACUUGAAUUCAUUUCCGUACUUUCUCUCGUUAUACUUGCUCUUUAGGUGAGUAAUCAGGGUUUUUCUGUGUAACUCAAUACUAAUAUGAGUUUACUAUGAAUGGGCACUUAGGCGUGGGUGUACUUUAUCGCACUCGAUCUAAACCCCAUUAGUUGCUAUUAAUACCUGUGAAAUAUGAUUUGGUGAUUUGUUAUAGAGCAUUUAUUGCUUGAAUUAGAGCAUUUAUUGCUUGAACUAGAGUAUUUAUUGCUUGCACUAGAGCAUUUAUUGCUUGAACUACAAUUUUAGAGCAUUUAUUGCUUGAACAAAAUAUUUUAGAGCAUUUAUUACUCAUGACUUGAGCUGAGGCUCAUGGUCUCUCUAUCUGGGAUCCUUUAAGAGAAGCGAGCUGUGUGGCUCAGGAUCUCAAGGGUCAACCAGUGAUCAACCUCGACAAAUGAGUUGGCUUGGGAGCCACCCGUAUCCUUACCAUGUCGUGUUACUUUUCUGCUUUUGCUUUGCUCUCACUGUGCAAAUAUUGACAUGUAAAAAUUCCAUUUUUACCCCUGGUUAGUCACUGAGCUUCUAGCUUACCCCCUUUUCUUUUGUUUUCCUUAGCAGGGCCGACACAGGAAAAUUUUGGCACCAUCACUAGUAUAGUUGGGUUUUGUUUGUAAUCACCGAAUAGUUAAAAUGUUUUCCAUAUUAUAGUGAUCCGUGUAAGGACCCUUCUUAGGGUCUACUCUUUGGUUUUGGUUAUAAUCAUCAGGAUGUAAUGAUAUGGGUAGUUACUUUUGGAGAUGUAAAUUGAACUCUUUUGCCGAUGUAUAUACUGUGAAUAGUACUCUUUUGGUACUUUUAGCUUUUAUUUGCUUUUGAUUUCGAAUCCUGGCGCGAGCUAGGCAGGCGGUCCGCCGAACCCUUUGGUUCGCCUUAGGGUGAGGUGGGGCUGUCACACUAUGAACUCCCACCUUGGUUAUAUCAGGGAUGCCAUGAUGUUCAUGUGUGUGUUAGUGUAUUUGUGAUUAGUUUUAAUGGAAGAAACUAGAAGAGGAAAAAGAAAGAGAGAAACCGUGAGGAAGAGGUGCUGUCCGAAAUUUCUAGUCAUGUUGUUCUGUUUUAGUUUCGAAAAUUUUACGCUUGAUUGACUGUGAAAUUGAUGGAUAUAUGUUGUAUAGUGUGUGUAGAAAGUGCCUACCAAAAAUCGUUUCAUUUGGUUGCGUAAAACUUGAGCUUUGGAAAGAAUCAAAUCUGGAAAAACGUAUAGCAGGGGUUCUCAGACAGUUUUGUUUUUCAAACAUAAAUUUUUGUACAAAAGUCAAAAUUGAGUGCUGUCAGUGGCAUUCAAAACUAGACAUUCAUAACUUUAUAACGGUAUAAAAAUCUCCCACUGCUUCAUUUUGAGUGAACCGCAGUGAGUCGGCAAAAUUAGCUAUUCUAUUUCGAUUGUUCAUACGAAUGAAACUAGAAGCUGCGUUUUGUGGCUUGAUUUUGUUCCACUUGUGAAAAGAUUUUCAAAUUGACGUCUUCUGAUGAAUUGUAGUAUUUGGAACCUAGUUUCGAACACCAUAAACCAAUCUCAAUUUAGAGUUGUACAGAGUGAGAUAUGGUCUGAUUUCAAAAGUGCAACAAAGCUAGAAAACCGAAAGUUUUUCCUUUCUUGCUGACCGAAUGGUCAAACUUGUUUUGGGAGGUUAUAUUUUGAAAAUUUUAGUUUCAUUUAACCAUAAAUUGUUUAUUAAAUGUUUACAGAACCUUGAUUUGAAAAAUGGAUCGAUUUGGGGCUGAUUUCAUUGUACAAAACUUUUGAAAAGAGAAAGAGAGAUAGGGUGGCAGAUUAGCUUUAGAAAUUUCACGAAUUUUGGUUGUUUCGUUAACUGCCUUCCAGUGGGUGUCGCGCCCCAUUUUUUGAUAAAUAAAUAAAUGGUUUGAAAAAAUGUAUUUGUGAUUGGAAAAUGAAUUGUGAUUUAAAAUAAAAAUGGGUCUAAAUGGGACUUUUGAAAAUGCGACGAUUUGACCCAAGAAAAAAAAGUUCAAAAAGGGUUUUUUUAUAUGAAAAAUGGAGUCGCCACUUGGUAUAGAGUUAGGGUGUACCAAGUCACCCAAAAAGUGAAUUUUUUAAGGAAAAAAGUAAGAAACCCUUUUGAACGACUCCUAGUCCACGCAAACAAAGAAAAAGAUUCGGGAGUCACAUUUGACGAAGGGGAAGGCAAGGAUAAAAAUCCAAGGCACCCCUUCGACCUAGCCAAGGCUAGUUGCGUUGAUUUAAUCAAAGAUUUUCUUGUUUUAACCAAAGAAUUUAUUACAUUUGGAUGUGCUACAUGAAUGCAAAACCCUAGACCUAGGGGUAUUGGGGGAAAUUUCUCUUCAAAGAUUGAGUGGUGCCAAUCACAUUAAUUGUGAAGCCCAAUAACGAUACUUUGAAGAAGUCACGAAUAAUGCAAGUGGGAUGCAAAUGAAGGGAAUGCAUGUAUGCAAUGUGAAGGCAUGAGUUUGAAAAAGUAAUAAAAAACAAAGAUGCCUAAGUGCAAAUGUGCACGUGAGUGGGCAAGGUAUGGUAUGUGCAAUGGUAAUAUGAAGUGCAAGUGAUGAUAAAAAGUGUUAGUGUGCAAGUGAAGGGAUAAAGAGAUGCACGUGUGCAAAUGGGAGGAGAAGUGUUCGUGUGCAAGUGAAGGGAUAAAAAAUGCAUAUGUGCAAAUGAGACAAAGUGUUCGUGUGCAAGUGAAGGGAUAAAGGUGUACGUGUGCCAAUGGGAGGAAAAAAUGAAAGUGCAAUGAUAGAGUGGAUGCAUGAACCUAGGGAAUUCAUGCAUAAUGGGUACGGGGAGACCUAAAUCGUGACUCAAUUUGCCCUUUGAUAGAGAGGAUACAAGCGUGCUAAGGCUUAGAAAAAGCCAUACUCGUCUAUAUCCCAUAUUUAAGGGGACUCUCAAGCAAAUGAACCCUAUGACUAGCAUGAAAUGCAAAAAUCCUAAAAUGGAGGGAAAAGGGGUUCGAGGUGCAUGCCAAAUGAUAAAACUAAGAAAAAUGCAUGAAAUGAAGUGAAACAUGCAAACAUGUACUAACGAGGGGAAAUCCCUAAGGGUCUAGCGUUGGACUAGCCCAUUCUAUGAAUUCCGACUAGCGUUGGACUAGUGGAAACGUACAUUCACCCAUUCCAUUCAUCUACACUAUGAAAAGCGAGUAGACAUGCGAAUCACCUAAAACACGUAGCACGUAACACUUAGCAUGCUCGACUAGAUGCAAAAUCCUAAUAAAGCAUUUAACAUAUAACACAUAGGCAUGCAACCAUUACAUUUGCUAACUAAACAAAGGGGAAAGGGAAAAUGGACCAAAUUACUUGCUACGCCCUAUCUAUUACAAGCCAAGAGGUGUACACAUACCCCAUUAAUAAAAAUAAAAAGUAAAUGAAAUAAAUGAAAGGAAAUAAGGAGAGGCUAGGAAAGCAAGUAGACAUGCAAAUUUCAAUUAGCACAUUAGUCCACAUAGGAGAGAAACAAAAGGGGUAAAAGAGAUUAUACCUCCCCCUAAUGGUAAGCAAAUGAAGGAAAAUGGCUUCAAAACAAUAAAAAUGUCACGGUACCUCAAAUAGUAAAAUAUAACAAGGUCACCAAAUCUCGCCUAAUUGCAAUUUAAAUGAUAUCAAACAAUACAUAGUUUCCAAUAAAGGGAUCCACCAAGGACCCAAAUGCAAGCAUUAAUCAACCAUUCAAAGUCAAUUGAAACAUUUUAGAAAUUUUGAAAGUCCAAGAGCAAGAAAAAGGCCAAAGCCAAUUUAUUUCAGAAAAUUUAAGAAGAUAGGUGAACACAAGCUCAUUUGGACACAAAGUUCUAAAACUCUUGCAUUAAGUAUCACUUUAGCAAAACAUGGUAACCAAUGAAGGCAAACAAGCAAUUGAAUUGAAACAUUAAUGCUACCAAAGACUCAAAUGUGAACACUAACCAAGCAUUCAAGCUUAAUCAAACACUUUUAGGAACUUCAAAGGUCCAAAGGCAAAGAAAAAAUGGAGGAAUGGUUCAAAUGCAAACAUCUUAGGACCUAAUUGCAAGAACAUGGAAUGUAAUUGGGCCAUAAUGCAUUGAUGCAAAAAUCACAGGGACCCAAUUGAGGACAUUAUUCAAUUGGUUGGGUCAUAGUGAAAUGAAGGGAGACUUGGGGGGUUAAGAGGCAAUUUCCGAAAGUUAUAUUCAUGCAGACUCAUGCAAACAACGUAGAAGCUCUUCUGCAAUUUCUGCCGCAACUCUUGCAUCUCCAAACCAGGCGUGUUUCAUACCAGAAAAAUGCACAAAAUUCAUUGUUUGCCAAACCGACUCAACUAAUGGCUUAACAAACUAAAACUUAGAUCAAAGAAGCAAGAUCAUCAAAUGUUUUUCCCAGCUUUAACCUUAAACUCCUACAUUCAGCAUAAGGUUCAGAGGGAAAAGAGUGCAGAAAUCUGGAACAUAUAAAAAUGGCUUGGCAAGUUGAAAUGUGUUUUCCAGCAAGGUUCAAACAUGAUUCAAAUGUUCAAAACCCAACAUACCGACUCAAAACCAACCAAAACACUACCCUUUUCUACACCAAAAUAUCAAACUAAGAUGGCCAACUUAGUGGAGGAGCAUGGAAACAAAAGCAACUAAACAGAUACGGCAGCAUUUUUCUGCUUCAAAAUUUUUAGCCGUGGCUGUUCAUUCACUUCAGCAUGUCAAACAGGUUUAUUCAUACCAAAAUUCUACCUAUCCAUCAUCCACUAAACAUACAACUUCAUUGCAUGAUUGAAUCAAAAAGAUGGAGCUGAUCAUCAAGAGUAGAAGGAAAGCCAAACAGCAACAGAAUGAAGAAGAAGGAAAAAAAAUGCAGCGAUGAUUUCCAUAACAACAAACAAAAGUGCGGCCAAACAUUUAAUCCCUUGCAAAAGCUCAUUUCAAAGCUUACCCAUUACUCCCAACACCGAACCUAAUGCAAAAGAAAAAAGAAAUGCAACCUUGAAAUAGCAAACAAACCCAGAAACUUAAGCAAAUCCAGAUUUUUAUGCAAACAGACAAUGCAUCUGUUAACAUUGCUGCAAUAAGUUCGGAAGCUUCCUCCCACUUCUGACCAAGUUUGAAUUUAUGAUGGUAAAGUUGUGGAUGAUCUUACUUUACAAACUUAAGGUGGUUUGCUCACAGCAAGAGGAACAUGAGAAAUAGGAACGGCACUAAGCAUAAAACAGCAAAUUAUCAAACGAAAUUCCUAUAUGAAUGGCAGUCAUAUCAUGAAACCGAAAGGAACCAAAGCUUCACUCGAAACACAAACCCAUGCAAACAUUCAUUUUCAUUCUCACAAACAUCUAACCUCAGACAAAUAUUCCAUUCUUAAAACCAAAACUAGCAAACAUGUCAAUCAAAUGCAAACAGGCCCAAAUAUUUAUCAAGAUUCCAAAGGCUACCACCAAAAUGGUAACACGGAGCGCAUGUCAAAUAGACAAUAUGAGCCCAAGAGAAUUUCAUCGAGCCUCAGAUUCAUUCGUUAGUUCCAAAGCUCAAAGCUAAAGACUUUUCAAACACAUUUCUAACACCAGAUGUUGUUCAUGGUAUUUCAUUCAAACAUAGACAACAAAACAAGCAGGGUCAAUCGAGUCUAAACCUCAGCAAACAAAGAAAAAGCAACCGACAUGCCUGAGUUGUUGCAACAAGCCGAAAAAUCCAAUCUUGUUGCAGCAAGCUCUUAAGCUAAGAAUCCAAGAACAGAGGGCCACACUCACAAAAGAAAUCCAUCAAGAACACCAAAUACUUCUGCUUUUCAUAGUCCCGUUACUUAAUAACAAACAAUAUCUAUAAACAGAAGAAAAAGAAAACCUUACAGUCACGUUCUUGGUGAAGCUCUCGGCAACAAUGGUGGCGGCGAGUUCCUCUUCUGCGGUCGCCACCAGUUCCAACCCUUUUAGCUCUCAACCUUUUCCUUUUUGCAGUCUAGCCUACCCACAGCCCCAGCUCUCUUUACUCCAGCCGUCCUUUUCCUCCUCAGCCGCAAGUCUCCCUCACUCUUUCUAUCACUCUCUCUCUCAGUCGCUGUUUUUUCCUGUUUUCCCUCACCUCCAGCCGUCAACUUCAAUCCUUCUUCCCUUUCUUUGCUGGUUCACCUUUCUGCCGUCACUUUUCUGUUUCCUGCCUUCUCGCGGUUUCCACUCUCUCAAACCAGCCGUUGUUACCUAAUCUCUCUUGGCUUCCUCCCCUUUUCCUUUUGCUGUUGUCGACCUCUUUUCCUCCCUUGGCGGCUGCCAUUCUCUUGGCUUUUAUAUGGAAGUCCCCCCAACCCUAAACACCCAAACAUCUCUGCUAUAAUUGCAGCUAAGGGCUGCCGAGCCCUUCUUGCAAAGCUGCGACAAAACGCAGCUUUCUGCAUUUGUCUUUUUUUUUUUUCCAAAAGAUAUUUAACAAAACCAAAAUGAUAAUAAUAAUAACAAUAAUAAUAACAAAACCCACUUAAUUAACAUUGGAUAAAAUAAACAAACUAGAAACAACAAAAAUGCAAUUUUUCAUUUUCCAUUUUCAUCAUUUUUCCUUUUUCCUUUUUUAAAUAAUUUACCAAAAAUGAUAAUAAAAUUAAGUAAAAACCAACAAUUUGAUUAACAUCAGAUAAAAAUAAAUAAAUAAACUAGAAAUAAUAAACAGCAAAGUUGCAAUUUUUAUCAUUUUUUCUCUUUUUUUCCUUUUUUUUUCAUUUUCAAUUUUCAUUUUUUUCAUUUUUUCCAAGAAAACAUUGAAUUUAAAUCAAAACAAUUAAAACAUAUAUUUUUUUUUGAAUGCUUUUUCCCUUUUCUUUUCGAGAAAUUCUAUGCUAAAAACUUAAAAAUAAUAAUAAUAACACGAAAAACUAAAAAACUAAAAACUAAAAAGGUGAAUAAAACUAAUAAACUGAAAACACUAAAAUUUUGGUGUCUACAGUUUGCCCCUCUUUGUCUGAGUUUUGAAAAAACUUGAGACAAAGAAGUAGACACCAAAUACUUACCUGCGUUAUUUGGUUGCGAAUGUCUGGAACGACUGAGGAUUGACCCCGACAAGAAACUUAAAACGGGACUGACCCGAACAAGAAAUUUUUGCUAUCGGGACUGACCCGAACAGGAACUUUGAAAUCGGGACCGACCCGAACAGAAAUUUAAACGGGACUGACCCGAACAGAAUUUAAACGGGACUGACCCGAACAGGAAUUUAAACGGGACUGACCCGAACAGAAUUUAAACGGGACUGACCCGAACAGAAAUUAAACGGGAUAGACCCAGACAAAAAUUUUAAAUGGGAUAGACCCAGACAAAAAAAUGUAAAUGGGACAGACCCAAACAGAAAUUUAAAUGGGAUGAAUUGAAGUGAGAUGGAGUAUUGGUGGGGUUGACCCAUGUUUAUUGGUGAUGCAAAUGAAAGAAGUGAAAUGAAGUGUUAAUGGGACUGAUCCACGAUCCAGUGACUGUGAAAAUGAAAUGUUCAUUGGCGGUACUGACCCACGUUCCAGUGGCUAUGAAAAUGAAAAGCUCACUGGCGGGACAAACCUCAGCUCCAGUGGCUAUGAAAAUGAAAUGUUGGUAUGUUUGAAAAGGCUGUAUAAAACUUGCUUGGAAAAUUAUCCAAGAUUUGUCCCAGUGUAAUGAAUUGAUCAGCGGGAUAGAACCCAGUUCUGCCGAGGUUGGCGGGAUAAAACCCAGUUCCAACGUGAUAAGCGGCCAGCGGGAUAGAACCCAGUUCUGUCGAGGUUGGCGGGAUAAAACCCAGUUCCAACGUGAUAAACGGUCAGCGGGAUAGAACCCAGUUCUGCCGAGGUUGGCGGGAUAAAACCCAGUUCCAACGUGAUGCAAGCGGUCAGCGGGAUAGAACCCAGUUCUGCCGAGGUUGGCGGGAUAAAACCCAGUUCCAACGUGAUGCAAGCGGUCAGCGGGAUAGAACCCAGUUCUGCCGAGGUUGGCGGGAUAAAACCCAGUUCCAACGAAAGUAAAAGCGGUCAGCGGGAUAGAACCCAGUUCUGCCGAGGUUGGCGGGAUAAAACCCAGUUCCAACGAAAGUAAAAGCGGUCAGUGGGAUAAAAACCCGUGCCUGCCGAGGUCGGAGGGAUAAAACCCAUGCCCAACGAAAAUAAAAGCGGUCAGUGGGAUAAAACCCGAGCCUGCCGAUGUCGGAGGGAUAAAACCCAUGCCCAACGAAAAUAAAAGCGGACAGUGGGAUAAAACCCGAGCCUGCCGAUGUGAACUUGAUUUGAUUUUUGACUUUUGUGAUGAUGAUUUUUUAUGUUUGAUUUGAUUUGAUUUGAUUUAUUUAUUUUUUUGAAUUUUUUGAAUUUUUCUGACUUUUGAGAAACUUUUCAAAAAAUUAAUUUGCCCCAGUUGGAUGAAUUUUUGCAAUUUGAGUCCAUAGUUGAUUCGGUAUCGCCAUGUUGCUGCACCUUUUGAUCAAAUUUGCUUGUGACAUUUUCGAUCUGCCCUUUGUCCCCCGGAGGACUCUUCCCGACACCAAUUCGAGUGCGAGGUGUGAUUACCUUCAUCUGUGCAUACAAUUUUUCCUGUGAAAGAGAAAAAACAAAGAAAUUGCCACCACCAUUUGAUCCGUUUUCCUUCGAGAAUCGUGUAAACAUGAGUCUUUCAACGCCUUUAUCAACUUUUGCUGCGGCAGCCGAUUGAGUUGGAUUUCUUACCCUGAAGCUUUUUCAAUUUUCAAACUGACCAGGUAUGUGCUUUGCUAUAUUGUGAAAUCUGUGUAGCUGGCUUGGCUGAAUUUCAACUGUUCCCAAAAGAUGACUGAAUCCAAGCAUACUUUUUGCAAUAAACCACAGGGAUUGUCAUUCACCACAAUUCAAUGAUAAAAAAUGAGGCAUGCAAGAAAAUUCACAUGUCAUGUAAAAAUGAAUAUGCACAAGAAUGCACACCUAACAGUUGUGCUUAAAUUCUACAAAAAUGCCAUGAAUGCAAAUAAUUUGGAAGAAAUGAGUUUCCUAAGAAUAUAUUUGCAAAAGAAUGUUUUACAAAAAUGACUCAGCUUUUGGCCAACAGAUGUCAUAUUCUAAUCUCUGGACAUCUUAGCUCCGGAAUUCAAUGUUGUCAGAGGUAUGACAAAAAUGAGAAGACAUCUAAAUGGACCGAACCACCAGUUGUUCCUCUUUGUGCUUGCUCAUUGCAGAAACCUACCUUGGCGUCCAUUCGGGUUUUCACCAAGGUUGCCCCCACUCCUUUUCUUUUGUUUUCCUUUUCUCUUUUUUUCUUUUCGUUCUUGAGGUGCCCUUGUGGGUUUUUCACCUAAUGAAACAAUGGAAGAACUCAAACAUAGUCGACUCAGGAAUGUAAGUCGAAGAUUGCUGGCAUCAGUAAAAAUACGCUUCCCUCGUAAGAUUAGGCGAAGGCAUUAUGGACAUCACCUGCCAGUUGAUUAACAAACUUUUUUAAUAGAAAUGCAGCAAGUGACGAAAGCCAGGACUUUGGGCUUUUGUAAUGAGGUUAGGUGGGGUGUUUUUCAAGAAAAGUUGAGGCUUGAAAGCAGGUCUGAUGAAAUGUGUGAAAUAACCUGAAAUUGCAUCAUUUUGAAAUCAUCUCCAAUUUUUGAACGAAACCGAGGAAAAUUUGCCCCAGUUUGAUUGGAUUUUUCUUUCUUUGUAUUUUUCAUUGCAUUUUCUUCUCUUUUGCAUUUUUCUUUGAAAACUAAAUUUGCCCCAGUGUGGGGUUCUUUCUUCCUUUUCAUCUCUCUUUCAAAACAAAUUUGCCCCAGUAUGGGGUUCUUUCUUUUCCUCAGAUCUUUUUCAAAGAUAAAUUUGCCCCAGUAUGGGGUUUUUCUUUUCUUUCUGAUCAUUUUUCAAAAUGAAUUUGCCCCAAUGUGGGGUUUGCAAUUCUCAGGGGUUGCCAAACGAAAAUUAUUGUUCUGAUAGCUCAAAAGGGACGACUAGGGAUGAAAUGUUUUGAUUGGAAAGGAAGAUAGCCUGACUUUUGCCUCGUCUCUUGCAUGAUUUCCUAAAAGAAACUUUGCAUAAUCAAAUAAAGAACAUCUUACACAUGUUCGAGUUGAUAGGUUGAGAGAAUGUCUGUCCUUCCAUCUCUCAUUUGAACACCCAAUAAGCUUUGUCAAUUUGAAGCAAAUUUGCCUUCGACUUCGUCUUUCAUCACUUUGGCACUUUGUUUCCUUCUUCAGAAGAUCGGUGGCGGAUCCUUUUGUUAUGAAUAUAGGCCAUGCGUUUUGACAACGUUGGUCAUGGCACAUAGCAUUCAACUGCUUUUCAUUAAUCAGAAUCAAUCGUUAAUGGCACUGCUUUAACCAAUCAGCUUACAACCUGGCAGGAAAGGGAUUUUCUCAAUGAAGGAAUUUCUCAAUGAAGGCUUUUUUCUUUUUAUGAAGGCUUUCUCCAUGAAGGGGUCUCUCAAAGAAGAGAUUUCUCAAUGAAUGGAUUUUUAAUGGAGGGGUUUUCAAUGGUUUUCUCAAUGAAGGCUUUCCCCAGGAAGGGAUUUUCAACGAAAGGAUUUUUAAUGAAGGGAUUUUCAAUGAAGGGCUACAUCAGAUUCCAGAACAGUGAUAUUCAAAGGAUCAAAUAAUUUCAUCUUUGGCCAUCUCAAAGAAUUAACAAAAAUUCAGGAAAAUAACCAAAUAAACAAAUAAAACAAAUUGUGCAUUUCAUGAAACUCCAAAUCAAAGCAGAAACAAGACAAAACUCAAUUGCAAAAAAUGCUUUCGUUAAGCUAUUUACAUAAGCAAGAAAAAGUUUUCGUGAAUUUUAGUAAAUGACAAACCCCUAGAUUUAUCGAAAUUCCCUUUGAGAGGGAGGAUAAUCAGCCAUCCAAAUUGUGCAGAGCUCCUUCAGGAUUUUCAAAUUUCGUCAUUGGAGGUGGAUGCUUCAAAGGUGUCACUGUGUUUGGGAAAGGGGUUUGUACUUAUGUUCGGUCCUUGUUCUGCACUUCUUCUAAUCAAUAUUUCCCCGGCCUCAAUCAUUUCUUGGACUUUCUGUUUAAGUGCUCUACAAUCAGUAGUUGGGUGGCCAGGUGCUCCCGAAUGAUAGGCACAAGUGUAUUGUGGGUUAUAUCCGCCGGAGAUACCAUGGUAGGCUGGAGGGGGAAUUUCGCCGAUUUUACCGGCGGCUUUUAAUUGUUCAUAUAAUUGGUCCAAAGGCCUGCCAAGAUUGGUGAAUGUUUGAGAACGAUUUUGAACGUGGGUUUCAGUAUGUUGGGGGUAGUUGUAGGUGGGUCUGUUUGGUCGGGGAAAUUGUUGAUUGUAAGGAGGUCGGGGUCGAACUUGUUGGAAGUGAGGUUGAGAUAUUUGAAAAGGGGCCAUAGGCGAGUUGUUAUAGUUAGGCCGAGGUCGAGGAUGAAUGGUAUUGGUGUGGUAAACAGGAUGAGGGCUUGAAUAGUAAGGGUUUGAGUAGGUAGGGUAUAGUCGAGGUCUGGGUCUUGGAAUAGGGAUUCGAUUCCAGACAAAAGCAGUUUCCCCCUCUUGCCUUUUGGAUUGUUGCUUCUUCCCAUUACUACCUUGGCUUUGCAAAGCAUCCAACUGCGAUUUGAGGGCAGACACAUUAACAAUCUUUCCAGCCUUCACGAAAUCAUCAAAUUCCUCAAGUUUAUUAACAAUUGCGGCAAAUGAGCAUCCAGUCAUGCGGAAAAUUUCUUCAAAGUACGGCGGAUCAUGUGCCUUAAUGAAAGUUCGUAUGAUUUCGUCCUCCGUCAUUGGUGGCUCGACUUUUGCAGCUACUUUCCUCCACCUCUUAGCAUAAGUCUUGUGAUCCUCGGAGGGUUUCCUCUUUGUCCCUUCCAACGUAGUUCGUGUUGGAGCCAGCUCGCAAUUAUACUCGUACUGUUUUACAAAAGCGUUGGACAAGUCAAGCCAGGUCUUCGUUUCUUCGGAUUUCAGCUUGGAAUACCAAUCGAGUGCAUCCCCCUCCAGACUUUCUGGGAAUAGCCUCAAAGGCAGAUUUUCAUCAUCUGUUGGCCUACCCAACUUGUUGGCGAACAAUCGGAGGUGCGUCUUGGGAUUGCCCGUCCCAUCAUACUUGUUAAACUUCGGAAUUUUGAAUCCUUCAGGCAAUUGUACAUUUGGAAAGAGACAAAGCUCGUCAUAGUCCAGCACUCCUUGCUUGUUUAAACCCUGACUUUUCCUUAUAAAUUCAUCAAAACGGUCAAGGCGUUUGAGCAGCUUUAUAUCAACGGGAGCGGAAGAUUCCCCCAUUUCUGGCUUGGUUUGAGCAGUAUGGUCUGGUAGGAAUGGCUCAGCAGCAGUGUGAUAAAAAGUAUGUGGCUCUGGUGGUAUGUUUGAAGUGAUUUGGGGUUGUGGGCCUUGCAUGCAAGUAGGGAAAAAUGAAGGAUGAGGAGGGUAAGUGUAUGGCAAAUGUAUAGUGGGGUAUGUGAAAGCCCCUUCGGUUGGAAUAGGGAAAAAUGGAGCAACAGUGGCUUGAAUUGAAGGUAUGACAAAUGGCUCUGGCCCAGGCUGCCUGCCGGGCACGGGCUCGGGUUGAACUCCACUGCUGAUAAUCUCAUCGAUUAAUUUCCUCUGGGCCGCCAUCUCAGUGGUCAUCUCACCGAACUUAGUGAGCAUCUCAGUCAACUGAACCCCCAAACUUGUGGUCUCAGGCUGGGCGGUAGUAACAAACCUGUCUGAUGGUUCCGGUUGCGGACUCAUGUUUACACGACUCCUCUGAACUUGACUACGGGAUCGUGUUAUGAUGGGGCUUCGACGAGAAGCUAUGUUUAAAUAUUACCUGAGAAUUUUGAAAGGAAUUGCCUUUAGAUUCAACCCUUGAUUAGUUAUUACAAUAAAAAUAAAGAAAAGAAAAAGAAAAAAAGCAAGAGUUAGUAGAUAUCCAGGAAAUUCGGAUGCAUGUCCUAUGGGGGAACCCUUUUUGUGCCAAGGGUAGGCCUAGCAUGAAAAUGCACUCCUCUGAGGUAGGCACUAUACCAUACCUGAUGGAUCUGAUCAAAAAAUAAUUUUGAAAAAUUGGGUCAAUUGGAGUGACGAGAGAUAUUUUGUCAAAAUGAGAUCAACGUCCGAAUGGAUUGAUCACUUUUGAUCGAUACGAGAGUUUGCAAAAACGCACGGGUUUGACUUUGACGAACUUCCUAUCGAAGAGAUUGGAAUUCAUUGACCAAAUCGUUUCAGUGAAAAACCCCAACUGAUCAAAUGGCUGGAUGCAAUGGAUGAUUUUCUCAAAAUCGACUAGGUUUUCCAUUUUGAAAUUCGUCAUUGAAACCCUACUCGGUCAAAUGGGUUGAACGAAAUUGACAAUUUUAUUUAAAAUCGACCGCAUUACCCUAAAAAAGGGAAUCGGGUCAAAUGAAUUGAGUGAAAUUUAAAAACUUACUCAAAAUUGACCGAAUCAUUCUAAAAAAGGGAUUUGGUCAAAUGAAAUCGAGAAUUUAUUCAAAAUUGACCGGAUCGCCCUAAAAGAGUAAACUGGUCAAAUGAAUCGGACGAAAUUAAUGAUUUACUCGAAAUCGAUAAGAUCGCCCUAAGAAUGGAAAAAUUGGUGAUUUAUUCAGAAAAUCGAUUAGAUUGCCCUAAAAAUGGGUGAAUUGGCCAAAUGAAACGAAAUGAAGAUUUAUUCAAAAAUCGACCAGAUGACCCUAAAAAGGGUAAAUUGGUCAAAUGAAUUGACGAUUUAUUCAAAAUCGACCAGGUGACCCUAAAAAGGGUAAAUUGGUCAAAUAAAUGGUUUAUUCAAUUCAAAAUCGACCUGAUAAAAAGGGUAAAUUGGUCCCUAAAAAGGGUAAAUUGGUCAAAUGAAUUGAUUUAUUCAAAAUUGAUUAGGAAUUGACAAAAUGGAUCGAUUGAAUCGGCCGGGCAUUGGUGGUUUCAGAAAAUUAGUCUAUGAGCCUUCUAAAAUCACUAUUUGGCCUCAAUUUAUUUAUCGUCUCAAUGAUAAGGAAUUAUUUGUGAAUUUCUUCAAAUUAAUGUCCUUUACGCAAGGGAUUUUUACCAAUUUUGAUAAAAUGGCCAAAAAGUGAUUAUUAGAUGCUCAUAUUCCAAAGAUCACUCUACGAAAAUGAUUGGAUCCUACCUUACCUUGUGCACUACCCCUUUGGAUGGUACAAAAUGUAAACGUGCAAGUCUCGUUGGAUUAAGUAUCCGAGACACAAGGCGGCUUAUUCCUAACACGGGAUCCCCUAAAUGGCAUUCCCUUUCUAGGGUUGUGCAUGAUGCCAUUUAUUAAAGCGAUGUAAAUAUGCAAUCCGAAAUGAAACGUGACCUAAGGAACCCUUUAUUUGCCAGAGUAGGCCUAAAAUGGUAUGGCAUUAUUAAUUUAUGAACAAAAUGUACCACAAUUUUCAAACGUGCAAUAGCCUAUCUACAAGGGUAGGUCCUAAAAGGAGGUCAUGCCAGACCUCUUAUUUCCUAACGUUUGUGAAUGCAAAAGAUAAGAAACAAGGAAACGUUAGUUCAACACAUAAUCACAUAACACAUUGGAUAAUUAGAUGAUACAAAAGCAACAAAGAAAUAAGGAAAGAGGGUGGGAUCCCUCCCCUCGUGCAUGGUGUCCCUAAUAGAGUAAGGUCGACUCUACCUUAGGCAAUUCUAAAAUGGAUGCAUGAGGUUGGGGUUCACUAAUGCAUCUAGACUCGAUAAGUCAUAGGUCCCCAAGCCUUCAGACUCGUGACCAAGGGUCAUCACUCCCAAGGCCCUUUGUCGGUGGCUCGAGCGAUUCCCCAAACACCGCUACGCACACGUCGUGUUACGGCCGCAUGUUUGAGUGAAUCUAUAAAAAACCUCAACCUUCGACUAAAAACUAAGGAUAUUAACCCAAAGUUUAAAGCGGAAGAGUGAGUGACCCAUUGGAUCGUGCUACGCACACGUCGUGUUACGAUCACACGUCCAAGUGGGUCUCCUAAUCCUAACAGGGUGGAGUGGCGUGACAAGCCACUAAAAAGAAAAUAAAGAGGGAUGAAUAAUAAAGCGUAUGCGCGUAUGAUAGUGCACGUUUUGGAGGGGAGGGAUCGAGAACCCACGCAAGGCUCUAAGGUAGAAUCCCCUCCCAAAUGCAAUGCAAAGCGCGGAAUCACAUACAAACAUCCAUUCAUCAAAACAAUCGUAGGCGAACGUGUGAGGAAGUGAGUUGAUACGCGAAAUGCAAAAAUCCUAGAAAAGGGAAAAAUGCAACCCUAAACAUCCAAUGUGAUAAAUAAAAAGGUUUAAGAGAAGAAAAAGAUUGAUUAAAUCAAAUUUGCUCGGACUCUCGAAUGUCCCCAGUGGAGUCGCCAACUGUCGCGCCCCAUUUUUGAUAAGAAAAAUAAAUGGUUUGAAAAAUGGAUUUUGUGAUGAUUGGAAGAUGAAUCGUGAUUUAAAAGAAAAAUGAAUGGGUCUAAAUGGGGGUUUGAAAAUGCGACGAUUUGACCCAAGAAAAAUAGUUCAAAAAGGGUUUUUUAUAUGAAAAAUGGAGUCGCCACUUGGUAUAGAGUUAGGGUGUACCAAGUCACCCAAAAAGUGAAUUUUUAAGGAAAAAAGUAAGAAACCCUUUUGAACGACUCCUAGUCCACGCAAACAAAGAAAAAGAUUCGGGAGUCACAUUUGACGAAGGGGAAGGCAAGGAUAAAAAUCCAAGGCACCCCUUCGACCUAGCCAAGGCUAGUUGCGUUGAUUUAAUCAAAGAUUUUCUUGUUUUAACCAAAGAAUUUAUUACAUUUGGAUGUGCUACAUGAAUGCAAAACCCUAGACCUAGGGGUAUUGGGGGAAAUUUCUCUUCAAAGAUUGAGUGGUGCCAAUCACAUUAAUUGUGAAGCCCAAUAACGAUACUUUGAAGAAGUCACGAAUAAUGCAAGUGGGAUGCAAAUGAAGGGAAUGCAUGUAUGCAAUGUGAAGGCAUGAGUUUGAAAAAGUAAUAAAAAACAAAGAUGCCUAAGUGCAAAUGUGCACGUGAGUGGGCAAGGUAUGGUAUGUGCAAUGGUAAUAUGAAGUGCAAGUGAUGAUAAAAAGUGUUAGUGUGCAAGUGAAGGGAUAAAGAGAUGCACGUGUGCAAAUGGGAGGAGAAGUGUUCGUGUGCAAGUGAAGGGAUAAAAAAUGCAUAUGUGCAAAUGAGACAAAGUGUUCGUGUGCAAGUGAAGGGAUAAAGGUGUACGUGUGCCAAUGGGAGGAAAAAAUGAAAGUGCAAUGAUAGAGUGGAUGCAUGAACCUAGGGAAUUCAUGCAUAAUGGGUACGGGGAGACCUAAAUCGUGACUCAAUUUGCCCUUUGAUAGAGAGGAUACAAGCGUGCUAAGGCUUAGAAAAAGUCAUACUCGUCUAUAUCCCAUAUUUAAGGGGACUCUCAAGCAAAUGAACCCUAUGACUAGCAUGAAAUGCAAAAAUCCUAAAAUGGAGGGAAAAGGGGUUCGAGGUGCAUGCCAAAUGAUAAAACUAAGAAAAAUGCAUGAAAUGAAGUGAAACAUGCAAACAUGUACUAACGAGGGGAAAUCCCUAAGGGUCUAGCGUUGGACUAGCCCAUUCUAUGAAUUCCGACUAGCGUUGGACUAGUGGAAACGUACAUUCACCCAUUCCAUUCAUCUACACUAUGAAAAGCGAGUAGACAUGCGAAUCACCUAAAACACGUAGCACGUAACACUUAGCAUGCUCGACUAGAUGCAAAAUCCUAAUAAAGCAUUUAACAUAUAACACAUAGGCAUGCAACCAUUACAUUUGCUAACUAAACAAAGGGGAAAGGGAAAAUGGACCAAAUUACUUGCUACGCCCUAUCUAUUACAAGCCAAGAGGUGUACACAUACCCCAUUAAUAAAAAUAAAAAGUAAAUGAAAUAAAUGAAAGGAAAUAAGGAGAGGCUAGGAAAGCAAGUAGACAUGCAAAUUUCAAUUAGCACAUUAGUCCACAUAGGAGAGAAACAAAAGGGGUAAAAGAGAUUAUACCUCCCCCUAAUGGUAAGCAAAUGAAGGAAAAUGGCUUCAAAACAAUAAAAAUGUCACGGUACCUCAAAUAGUAAAAUAUAACAAGGUCACCAAAUCUCGCCUAAUUGCAAUUUAAAUGAUAUCAAACAAUACAUAGUUUCCAAUAAAGGGAUCCACCAAGGACCCAAAUGCAAGCAUUAAUCAACCAUUCAAAGUCAAUUGAAACAUUUUAGAAAUUUUGAAAGUCCAAGAGCAAGAAAAAGGCCAAAGCCAAUUUAUUUCAGAAAAUUUAAGAAGAUAGGUGAACACAAGCUCAUUUGGACACAAAGUUCUAAAACUCUUGCAUUAAGUAUCACUUUAGCAAAACAUGGUAACCAAUGAAGGCAAACAAGCAAUUGAAUUGAAACAUUAAUGCUACCAAAGACUCAACUGUGAACACUAGCCAAGCAUUCAAGCUUAAUCAAACACUUUUAGGAACUUCAAAGGUCCAAAGGCAAAGAAAAAAUGGAGGAAUGGUUCAAAUGCAAACAUCUUAGGACCUAAUUGCAAGAACAUGGAAUGUAAUUGGGCCAUAAUGCAUUGAUGCAAAAAUCACAGGGACCCAAUUGAGGACAUUAUUCAAUUGGUUGGGUCAUAGUGAAAUGAAGGGAGACUUGGGGGGUUAAGAGGCAAUUUCCGAAAGUUAUAUUCAUGCAGACUCAUGCAAACAACGUAGAAGCUCUUCUGCAAUUUCUGCCGCAACUCUUGCAUCUCCAAACCAGGCGUGUUUCAUACCAGAAAAAUGCACAAAAUUCAUUGUUUGCCAAACCGACUCAACUAAUGGCUUAACAAACUAAAACUUAGAUCAAAGAAGCAAGAUCAUCAAAUGUUUUUCCCAGCUUUAACCUUAAACUCCUACAUUCAGCAUAAGGUUCAGAGGGAAAAGAGUGCAGAAAUCUGGAACAUAUAAAAAUGGCUUGGCAAGUUGAAAUGUGUUUUCCAGCAAGGUUCAAACAUGAUUCAAAUGUUCAAAACCCAACAUACCGACUCAAAACCAACCAAAACACUACCCUUUUCUACACCAAAAUAUCAAACUAAGAUGGCCAACUUAGUGGAGGAGCAUGGAAACAAAAGCAACUAAACAGAUACGGCAGCAUUUUUCUGCUUCAAAAUUUUUAGCCGUGGCUGUUCAUUCACUUCAGCAUGUCAAACAGGUUUAUUCAUACCAAAAUUCUACCUAUCCAUCAUCCACUAAACAUACAACUUCAUUGCAUGAUUGAAUCAAAAAGAUGGAGCUGAUCAUCAAGAGUAGAAGGAAAGCCAAACAGCAACAGAAUGAAGAAGAAGGAAAAAAAAUGCAGCGAUGAUUUCCAUAACAACAAACAAAAGUGCGGCCAAACAUUUAAUCCCUUGCAAAAGCUCAUUUCAAAGCUUACCCAUUACUCCCAACACCGAACCUAAUGCAAAAGAAAAAAGAAAUGCAACCUUGAAAUAGCAAACAAACCCAGAAACUUAAGCAAAUCCAGAUUUUUAUGCAAACAGACAAUGCAUCUGUUAACAUUGCUGCAAUAAGUUCGGAAGCUUCCUCCCACUUCUGACCAAGUUUGAAUUUAUGAUGGUAAAGUUGUGGAUGAUCUUACUUUACAAACUUAAGGUGGUUUGCUCACAGCAAGAGGAACAUGAGAAAUAGGAACGGCACUAAGCAUAAAACAGCAAAUUAUCAAACGAAAUUCCUAUAUGAAUGGCAGUCAUAUCAUGAAACCGAAAGGAACCAAAGCUUCACUCGAAACACAAACCCAUGCAAACAUUCAUUUUCAUUCUCACAAACAUCUAACCUCAGACAAAUAUUCCAUUCUUAAAACCAAAACUAGCAAACAUGUCAAUCAAAUGCAAACAGGCCCAAAUAUUUAUCAAGAUUCCAAAGGCUACCACCAAAAUGGUAACACGGAGCGCAUGUCAAAUAGACAAUAUGAGCCCAAGAGAAUUUCAUCGAGCCUCAGAUUCAUUCGUUAGUUCCAAAGCUCAAAGCUAAAGACUUUUCAAACACAUUUCUAACACCAGAUGUUGUUCAUGGUAUUUCAUUCAAACAUAGACAACAAAACAAGCAGGGUCAAUCGAGUCUAAACCUCAGCAAACAAAGAAAAAGCAACCGACAUGCCUGAGUUGUUGCAACAAGCCGAAAAAUCCAAUCUUGUUGCAGCAAGCUCUUAAGCUAAGAAUCCAAGAACAGAGGGCCACACUCACAAAAGAAAUCCAUCAAGAACACCAAAUACUUCUGCUUUUCAUAGUCCCGUUACUUAAUAACAAACAAUAUCUAUAAACAGAAGAAAAAGAAAACCUUACAGUCACGUUCUUGGUGAAGCUCUCGGCAACAAUGGUGGCGGCGAGUUCCUCUUCUGCGGUCGCCACCAGUUCCAACCCUUUUAGCUCUCAACCUUUUCCUUUUUGCAGUCUAGCCUACCCACAGCCCCAGCUCUCUUUACUCCAGCCGUCCUUUUCCUCCUCAGCCGCAAGUCUCCCUCACUCUUUCUAUCACUCUCUCUCAGUCGCUGUUUUUUCCUGUUUUCCCUCACCUCCAGCCGUCAACUUCAAUCCUUCUUCCCUUUCUUUGCUGGUUCACCUUUCUGCCGUCACUUUUCUGUUUCCUGCCUUCUCGCGGUUUCCACUCUCUCAAACCAGCCGUUGUUACCUAAUCUCUCUUGGCUUCCUCCCCUUUUCCUUUUGCUGUUGUCGACCUCUUUUCCUCCCUUGGCGGCUGCCAUUCUCUUGGCUUUUAUAUGGAAGUCCCCCCAACCCUAAACACCCAAACAUCUCUGCUAUAAUUGCAGCUAAGGGCUGCCGAGCCCUUCUUGCAAAGCUGCGACAAAACGCAGCUUUCUGCAUUUGUCUUUUUUUUUUUUCCAAAAGAUAUUUAACAAAACCAAAAUGAUAAUAAUAAUAACAAUAAUAAUAACAAAACCCACUUAAUUAACAUUGGAUAAAAUAAACAAACUAGAAACAACAAAAAUGCAAUUUUUCAUUUUCCAUUUUCAUCAUUUUUCCUUUUUCCUUUUUUAAAUAAUUUACCAAAAAUGAUAAUAAAAUUAAGUAAAAACCAACAAUUUGAUUAACAUCAGAUAAAAAUAAAUAAAUAAACUAGAAAUAAUAAACAGCAAAGUUGCAAUUUUUAUCAUUUUUUCUCUUUUUUUCCUUUUUUUUUCAUUUUCAAUUUUCAUUUUUUUCAUUUUUUCCAAGAAAACAUUGAAUUUAAAUCAAAACAAUUAAAACAUAUAUUUUUUUUUGAAUGCUUUUUCCCUUUUCUUUUCGAGAAAUUCUAUGCUAAAAACUUAAAAAUAAUAAUAAUAACACAAAAAACUAAAAAACUAAAAACUAAAAAGGUGAAUAAAACUAACAAACUGAAAACACUAAAAUUUUGGUGUCUACAGUGGGAUUUUUUGUAUAAAAUUUGAUAGAGAAGUUCAUAUAUGGAAGUUUAAGAGUACUAGAUUUGGUGCGAUUUCAAUGCCAUUUCGAUACUCAAAUAAUGCCCCAAAUAUUCCUCUUCAAAUCUGAAAAUUCACUGAACAGGGUACAAAAACCAACCACAUUCCAACUGUUGUAUCUUGUUGCUCGAAACUCCAAAUUUGGUUUCGCUUCUGGUUUUUGAAACUUUGUAUGGGACUCUUAUUGUGUUACGAAUUUCAAAGGUUAGUUCACUUUCUGUGAAUUUUACCGAAUUUCCAAAGAUUACAAGAAAACCAAGACUGGUUCAAACCUGUCUUCUUGGAACUGGAACUUUGAGCUGAAAAAUGAAUGCUUUCUGUUUGGAACCUUGAAAAAAGUGUGUUCUAGAAACUUUUAGUACUAUGGAUCUAGUUUCCAACGGUAUAAAGUUUUCCAUUUUUAGACGUACCGAACUCAAGAUCAGAUUUUACCAAGUUUGUCGCGCAAAGUUGAAAAUUCUUGAUUUCUUAGGAAAUGAGUUUUUAAGAACUUUUCAUUUCCUUUGUUAUUGAUAGGUCGUUUUGAAUCCGGUUUCAUGGAGGAUACGAGUUAUCCCUUGUGACUUUGAACUCUCACUUUUGAAUCUUGAAUUUCACUAGCAUGAAGCUCUUUUAAGACAUUGUCUUAGUAUUACGCAAGUGUACAUUCUUCCUUGUUUGGCAAGGGGUUUGUAAGUAUUGGUAAGUGAUAGAUAAUUGUUAUUUCUUCAGGCACUCAACAGGAUCUUGAAGAGAAUCUCAGAGCCGACUACUAAAGAUCUUAUUUGUAUUUACUCACUUAUUUUGAAUUGGUGAGUGUUCCUUGUAGGUGUUUGUGACUUGAAUAGUUUUGCUACAUGUUUACCGCAUAUUUCUUGUGUGUUUGAGUGUUAAGUGUUAUCUAUAAUUGCUCCUAUGUAAUUUUCCACCGUUUUAAGGUGAGUGCGUACUUUAUCACACUCGACCUAUGAAAAUAAUAAAUUUCUACCGCUUACCGGUUUACUUAAUUAUUUGCGCAUGUUGUAAGCUCUUAGUUGAACUUGACCCUGCCCGUGGUUGCUAACCUGCUUGAGCCAAGACUGGGUUCGGUCAGGUAGGUUGGAAUCUUGGGCCACCGUAUCGGUAUACUCGAGUAUUACCAUUGGAGGAAUAAGGUGUGGCCAGACAAAUCGCAGAAAUUAUUGGAGUUAUAAGGUGAAGCUGACCGAACAGUUCCACGUGAACACCAUAUCCUUUUAAUGUGUGCUUAUUUCUGUAAAAUGAUAAAUGUCUCAUUUUAAUGUGCCAAUGUGAAAUCUUGAACCAUAUAUGUGUUAUGCUUAAAUUACUUGAUUUAUUAGAACUGCUUAGGUGUUUUGGAACCUUACUGGGCUGUUUAACUCAUUCCACGCUUUUGUUUUCCUUAACAGGGUUCAAGACCGAGAGUGUUCGCGAAUAGUACUAAAUUGUUUUCUUUAGAGAUUUUAAGUUGUGUUAUAGUAGAUGGUUGUAGUACAUAUUCUUUUGGGUUGUAUUUAAGUUUGAAAGUUAACUGUUGGUAAGUAUGAAAUGUUUUGGAAUACUUUAAAUGUAUAUUGAAAAUAUUUGAAGUAUUUCUAGUUUUUAAAUUAUGGAUUGUAGCGAGUCCUGACGAGAGUUGGGCAGGCGUUCCGCGAAUACCCUUGGGUUCGCCCUUGGGAGAGGUGGGGGUGUCACAAUUGCACCAUUUAAACACACUUUCAUGGGUUAAAUUUUGUUGAAAUAGCCAAUGCAUGCUCUUGGUGUACUAUGUAAAUUUUUUGUGAUUUUUGGACAUAUUAUCUAGGCAUUUUCUGGUUGAUUCUACAAAUGUUAGAAGGUUGUUUUCACUCUUCUUGAUUGAUUAAGGCUACUUAUAGGGCUGAACUGAAGCUUUGCUUGUGAUACUAGGUUGCAAUGGUGGAUUUUUUUUUUGUGAUUUUUGGCUGACAUCUUGUUGACCUUCAUGGCAAUUUUCCAGUAUUUUGUGGUGUUAUUUCAAGCUCCUUAGUUGCAUUUUGCAUAUUGAUUUGGUAUACUGGGGGUUUGUGUGGUAUUCUUUUGGCGGAUUAUCCGCAAAUAUUUUUGGAUUGAUUUUGAGGGGUACUUCUUUAUUUUGUGGUGAUUUUGACCAUGCCUCCGCGUACCAAAAAUGUUAGUGGGGCUCCCGCUUCUCGAAAACGGGUGAGGCCAACCAUGAGUGGAGGUAGUUCUAGUCGAACUCCACCUCAGUUUGACAAUUCUCAUUUCUUGAGUGCCAAAAAUGAGCAAUUGUAUUGGGAUAGAAUUGGUAAUUCUGUGUUAGUUGAGGUGGACUUAGGUGCUAAUUUUAAUAAUGUACAUCACGUUUGUGACUUGUUUGCUGAGUUUGGUUGCAGUCAAAUGUUGGAUUUACCUAUUGACUAUUAUCCUGGACUUGUUCAUCAAUUUUAUGCAAAAAUAAAGCAUAAGGAUAAGCUUAGGGGGGGAAUGCAUAACUCUCACUCGGCAAUUUUUAUCUGAUUUUUUGGGUGCUAAGAAUGAUGGGCCUCCGUUUGAACAUGGCAAGACUACCAUCACUUAUGACUCCAACCGAGUGUUUGAAACUACUUUGUAAACUAAUGAUCGAACCAAACACAUAAAGCUGAAAAUUUUCCAGCAACAAACUAUCAAGAAAACAACUUACCUCCUUCCAUACAAGACUAAGGUUGGAAAUAAAAUCAUGUUGAAUUGUGGCAUUGUUCUACCAACAAUUUUGGUUCGCUAAUCUGUAUUGUACACAAGUUUUGUUAUGGGCAUAAGUUUAGGAAAAUGAUGGCUCAAAGUGGUGAAUCAGACGUUACCUAAACUCACGAUUCUUUUAUAGGAUCUAGAUUUGGCUUAAUGGUCUGAAUUUGAAAAAUUUAACCCAAAUCUAAGAAAUACGAUGUGCCUAGAGUAGAUCUAAAUAAUUCUUGACCUAUUGACAGCCCUAGUGCAUACCAUUCAAUCUCUCUAGUAUGACAUCUUAAUUAUAGUGGAAAAUUAAAAUUUUACCAUUCUAAUUUGUUUUAUUUGAAACAUAUAGCAGUAGAAAAUUAAGAAUUUUAUCAUUAUAAUUUGUUUUAUUCGCAACAUAUUGUCAAUAACUCGAUACUUUCACAUAAAAUUAUCAUUCAACCUUAAAUGUGAUAUCUCUUGAACCUACAUUGUUACCAAGCCAUUUCAAACAAGGAAAAAGAACGGAUGCAUGUGAAUUAUUUUGUGAAUACUAGGUACCUACUUUAUUUGACUAUAUGCGAUUGCUCUUCAAAAUGGCUUGAGAACUCAAAUCCAAGAUCGAACGCAGUUAUAUUUCAAUACCACUACAAAUUUUGAUAAGAAAUGACUCCUCCAGUUCUUCUUUAGAUAUAGGGUUUUUAAAUCCCCAAUUUUAACUGCUUAAUAGCGUUUAAAAUUCAUCCUUCUUGCUCACAUGAAAAUUAAGUAGUAUUUUUUCUCUUUAUUUAACACUAUUAUCUAUUUUACUGAACUUGCUCAAUUGAUAAAUUUUCUAUAGCAUGUAAGCCUCUGAUUUGUGUGGUUUUAAAUUUCUUCCUUCUCCAUUUGAACCAACACACAAAGGAACAUGCCACCAUGAAAAAAAUAUAUAUCUAAAACCCUCAACACGGCCAACUAGAAAUUUUUAUCCCUACGUUUUCACAGUAUCAGCAUAUCCUCACUAUACUAAAAGUGCGCAUUGGAGUUGUUACAGUACUCAUGGACCGGUUAUCCGGUAAUUUUGAGCAACUUCGGUGGCGUUUUCAUAGGCAGAUAGACUGGUUAUGCUGUAAAUUUUGACAAUUCUAGUGGCAUUUCAUAGGCAUUUGUUUAGGCUUGCCCUCUUGCUCCAGAGUUCAGACGCUAGAAUUCUUUCCUCUCUCCCUCCAGUGGCAUUUUUUAGGAAGCAUAUAUGUGUCAUAUAUAUAAAGCUUAAUGCCCUUUACGGUGUUGCAUUGUUAGUUCUUUCUUCUUCUUUUUAUUUUUUUUUUUGCCUUUAUUAUAAAGGAUAAAAUGGAUUUAUUCUGUAACAAAAUAAUAAAAUAACAAUUUUACUAUAACUUCGAAUCUUCCCAUAUUUCUACAUUCAAUUUCUCCAUGUUUAUCUACUAUAUUUGACACACAUUUCUUCACUUUUUCUUUAUUAACAUCACCCAAAUUAAACCCAUGCACUUGUUUCCCCUAUAAUACUUCACUUUUAUAAGAGAAUUAUUAUUACAAAUAUUUUUAUUCUAAUUAGUUAUGUAAACAUCUAAGUGUGCCUUAAUCAGUAUUAUGUAUAACAAGAAAAGAUUUAUUGAACAUGUUUGAACUAAUUCUUGAUAAGAAAUUUCAGAAAAGUAAUGUACUACCUAACCUCUAGUUUUAGAUACUUUUAUUCAUAUUUUCUUCAUUCAGAGUUUUAGCUCUCUUGUCUAUGUAAUCUUGAGAGAAAGCCAUCUGAAAAGCAACAUAUUGAAUGUGUUUCUUUCUCCAAUUGAAGACCUGGAUUUGGCGAUUUUACAAGGUGAAGUCUUCACACUCUCACCUAACCGGUCUUGUUUAAACUUAUUUCAUUCUUGAUUAGAUACAAAUAGUAUGUGCAUAAUUUUAAAAGUGAUCAGCGUCACCAUAUUUAUCAUAUUUGUAUGUACUUGUACAUUUUAAAUGAAUGCAUCAUUUAUUUAUAGUAUCAAGAAUUCGCAAAGAUCUUAAGCCAAAAACUGACUAUCUAAGAGAAAAUUACAAAUCAAAUGAGUAAAUGAGUAACAGCAAUAUUCAAUUUACCUAAAGUCAAAUUCUCCACAUUUAUUAAUACCUAUCAUGUAUUAAAUAUAUAACCAAUUUACAUUAAUCCACUUGCCUUCAUUUGAUCUUGAUUAACAUAGGCUCAGGGCAUCCUCACGCAUCGCGUGAGGCUGAAAAAACUAGUGUAAAUAAAUACCAUAAAGGUCUGUGGCCAAGUCACCAUAGUAUUGGCAUCUAGAAGCUAAAUAUUCACUUUGCAAGUAGUAACAAAUACAAGAUAAAUAUUCAAUAACAACUUAUCAAAACCGGCCAAGGAAGAAUUGUUAGUCUUUCCCGUUAUUAUGUUCAGAGUUUGAAUCCUAUAUAAAAUAGUUGGAGGUAGAAAAAGUGUGAAAAAGGGUAGGAACGUUAAAAAAAAAAUACCAGAACCACUGGUGCCUUAAGAAUCAUUAGAGUAACUCUUAAUUAAGCAUCAAAUAUUAUACCUGUCAUCAUUGACAAUUAGAGUGAUAAAUUACACGUCACUUGUUCUCUUCUAUUGAGAAUUGUUAUCCAUUUACUCAUAAGUAUAUAGCUUGCCCACACAGUCAAGAAAGGAAUCAAAUAUGAUUACAUAACAAAAAAUAGAAAUUUUUAAUUCCUAUGAACAUACCUUACUUUGAUUAAAAUCCAGCGUUCAACAUGACAAAAAAGAAUAAUCCUCAUAAUGUUUAGGGUAAAUACGUGAGACCCCAUUGUGGUUUGUGUUAAAGUUAGCCCAAACCUCCGUGGUUCGGACAUUUCUACAAGUGCCGUUUAUGAUUCCUAACUGAUGAAUAGAAAAUGGAUGGAAACCAUCCAAAUCAACAAAGAGUGUAGUCCACUUGCCUUCUAUUCAAGUGUCAAUUAUCAAACACGAUUUUUUUUCAUAAAAUAGUCAACUUUUUUCCAAGAGUAUCCUUAUUUUAUUUUUCGAAAAAAUCACUCAAAUUGUUCCUCACAUUUCGCUUCACUCUAAAAUAUUAACUUUACAUCCCUUACAAAUUCAAGUUAACAAAUUUUGGUCCAAAACUAAAUUUCUAACCAUUUCUUAGCCUAAAAUCUCCAUGUGACCCACAUGCAGUCAUAUUUUGUGUACAAAAAUGUUAGAUUUCAUUUUUUUUAGUAAUAAAAAUGCUUAUGAAUUGGGUCCAAUUACUCCUUUUUAGAGAAAAAAAUUAAUAUAGUUUAGAUCAAAAUUUGCCUUUUUCAGGGUAAAAAUGAACAUGGAUUCAUUUAACUAUAAAUAGUAUCUAAUCUUUUUAUCUUAGAAAAAUAACGAUGUAUGAUUUACGUGACAAAUUCAAGAUAAAUAAUGGUCAAAAACAUAGAUUGUAACCAAAUUUUAUCAACUUGAGUUUGCAAAUGACGUAAAUUUAAUAUUUUAGAAAUGAAUGACAAAAAGAUUCAUUUUGUGGAAUAUGACAGAUAUUUUAAAUAAUUUUUUCUUUUUGUUUAAUUUAUCUACUGUAUCACUUCUCCUUGUCUUUUUCCAAUCGUUUCCUUUUUUUUUCUAUUUCAUUUUUUACAGUAUUUUCCCCUUUCCUUUCUCUCUUGCAUGUCCUCCUAAUUUGCUCCUUCCUCUCUUCUUUAGAUCUUUUCUUCUAUUUGGCUUCUUCCUUUCUUCUUUUUUCCACUUUCUUUCUUCUAUUUGUCCACCAAAUUUGAACCCAUCUCUCUCUCUCUCUCUCUCUCUCUCUCUCUCUCUCUCUCUCUCUCUCUCAGCUUUUUCUUAUGCUGAAAUAAGAUUCUUCCUCCAAAUCGUGAAGGGUUUCAUCGUCAUUGUCCUCAUUGUUGCUUUGGCAUCACUGUAGCUGCCGAAAGAAAGCAAAAUAAAUAAAUAAAAAGUAGGCGUUGAUUUGCUUGGAUUCAUGUUCAUCCACCCUUUCCCUUAUUAAAUUGGUGAUAUAAUGUUGUUCCAAGGGUCCUAAGGAUUGUUUUAGUAAAUUUUCUACAUGGAAUUUUGGUAGACAAAAAGAGAUAGACCCAUUUGGUUUUGUAGGAGGAUCGCAUUUAUUCAACCAUUUUUUUAACUUAACUUUGAAAUCGUGAUGUGCACGAAAUUAAAGUUUUUAAUGAUAUUUCUACAAAAUUUUACCACUAGUUGAUGGUGGCUAGUGGUUGAUAUUGGGAGCCGUGAAGAUUUGUGAAUCUACCAAUGGCGCUUGAACGUUUUGACCAGAAAAUGAGGAAGGAGGAAAAGAAAAGGUAGAAAAGAAAAAAGAGAGAGGAUGAAUAAAAUGAAAAAGUAAAGAAAAGGAAAAAUGUUAAUAAGAAGAAGGGCAAUAAAUAUGUUUCAAAUCUUUAUGUCGGUUUGAAUGAUAUUCAUCUAUUUUUCAUAUCAAUAUUAUAAGGUGGUCUUAUGAUUUUUUUUGAACUAUAGAAGAUUGGAAUAAAUUUUGCUCAAAUCACAAGGAAAUUUGUUUGUAUUUUACACCUAAAAUUUACCUUUUCUAAUGAAAAAGUUUGAUUCUGUAGAUAAUUUAUAUUGACCGUUUUUUAAUGCAGGUGUUAAAUCAAAUUUCCUUUUUUUAUUAGCAGGCCAUAUAGAUUUGGAAUUAUUACUCCCUUGUACUAAAAGACACGGGCAAUUGGAAGACUUGGAUACUUAGGAUUUUAUUCCAACUAUUUAGUUUCCAUUAGUUUCCUUUUUACCCAAACAAAGUGAUCCAAUUAGAGAAGGUUUAGAUAUUGAAGAUUCCAAGUUAUUCAUAUGAAAUUCGUCACAUAAUCCAAAUCCUCCCUCUAAUCUUAGCCCCAGAGUAAUUGGAAAUAAGUGACCCAUUUUUCCUUGCACAAAAAUCUAGUUGUUUAGUUACAUAAUUUAUGUGCCCCUUUUACCAUCAAUUAAAUACCAAUAAAAGUUUUGAUAAGUUCUUCUCGAAAAAAAAUUGCCAAAAGAAAAGAGCAAUUCAAGAAGGAAAUUAGCGUUGCUGAUGCAGAGGAUGAGCCGAACACAAACCGAGGAUAUCAGAGAGUCCGCUACAUAAAUUCACACCAGCUCAGCCAAAGCUUGAAAAACUUUUGGUUGUCAAUGAACUUUUCAAGCUUGGGUCUAUAAGCAUAAAUUUAUUUUUACCAGGAGAGUAAUCAAGUGGUGCAGCACAUUGAGCUCACCUUGACAGAAGCUUAUAUUAGUUUGAUGAGUUCAUCAAGCAAAUGAAAGUUCAAACACAACUUCAGACUAAAAAACUAAACCAAGCUUGAACCACAUCUCACCAACAAUCUCAGUACACAAUGAUGCAAAGACGAUUCCACAUAUGGAUGUCAGAAUGGGAUCGAGCGUUUUCACAUCUCACCGUAGCGUCCAGUUUAUUUUGAUUUCCGUGAAACUCUUCCUAUGUUACUUGCCCCCAGCUACAUGUCCUUUGGACCCUUCACCCACCCACCCGCCCGCCACCAAUGGAAGCAAAGCUAGCCCCCUAUGUUGGUUGGGGGAAGAGGGCAUUUCCUUCGUGAAGGAUUCAAUCAAGCCACAGGUUCCCCUACCACAAACCUUGUUAUGACCUCACCCCAGUUGAAGACCCCUACCGUGGUAUGUACCAAUAAAACCACCAAUAGCCUUUAUGGCACUAGCGUGACACAAAGCCUACUUCAACAGAAAAAAGAAGGCAGAAGCAAUGAAUAAUUCUACAAAAUGCUACUUUACAUAUAAGCUAAUAAUACACAAAGUACCUAGUAACAUUUGGCUCAUAUGCAGAUGGAGUGACAGAAAGGAAAAAAAAUCAAAGAAAAAGGAAGAUUCCUGGGUAAGCUGGUAUACCAAAGGAAAGUAAAAGUAAAGAUAGUUGUUCCUAGUGUUUAACAAUACUGUCCUAUUAAUAUACAAAAAGAGGUCUAAUCUUUCCACAAUGACUGCUCACUGCCGGGGUACAGGUGGAGUUGCUGACUGAUGACCUUGGGCAUAGAAUCCAAUACCUGGAGGCCGAUAAUAUCCACCAGCAGCUGCCUGCUGCUGCUGCUGAGACUGCUGGUUCUGAAGCUGCUGAGGAGGUGGUUGCUGAGUUGGUAAAGGAGCUGGCCUAGCAAAUCCCAUUGGCAUAUGUGGAGGCAAAGGUGGAGGUGGAAGGUUGCUUGAACCAUAUCCAUAGGGAACCCCUAUCAUCAUUGCAGCAGAUUGGCCUAACUGAGUUGCAGAAGAAUUUCCAGGUGUUACAGAUUGGGGCGGUGGCGGCGGCAGCGGUGGUGGUUGCGGGAAUGUUGCCUGAAGUUGGUUUCCCUGGGACAUAAGCUGCAUCCCAUUGGCUGCACCAACUGGCAUGUUACUUACUGUCUGCUGUGCAGAAGCAAAGAAUGCAGCAUGACUGCCAUCAGAAUGAUUCACCUCAGAAAAACGCACAGGAUUCUCUACCUUUGGCCUUUUCUCUGGGGAUCCAAAAGGUAAACUAGAAGAGAAUCCAGUUGAAGUUAAACCAUUACUCAUAGAGGCAACCUCUUCUGCAACAAGGGAUGAAAGAACAGAAGUAAGCAUCUGUGCAGAGGAUGUGGAAGCAGCAAGUUUUGCCACGACAGCAGCUGCUGCUGCCUUCUUAUUCUCCUCUUCAUUGAGUUUUGAAGAAUUAAAAGUUAUAGGAGGGGUUGGCGGAAGGAUAGGCGUGCUUGAUAACUGGGUCAAAGGCAAGCUUGCUUCAGCAACCCUUGCAGCCUCCAUAAGUUGGCUACCAGCAUUAGAUUGGGGAGCCAGAUAAGAUGAUGAUACCAGCUUCUGCUUUACACAUAAAGUUUGCUCUAUCUGACUGCGGGCCACCUGUAUGUGAAAUACAACUGUCACUAGGAAUACCAAAAAUGAACAGCCAAUUUUUUGUUGAAUAUUGCAUGAUAACUAAACUAUAUCACUUAACAGAACAUGUUACCUCCAUUCAACAAAAACAUGUUAUACCACUCAGCUGAAUAGAAGUUUUGAGCAGCACAGGAGGUGUCAGCCAAAAUGUAACCUAGGGAAUGCUCUAAAAUAUAGGCAAUGAGCAUUUUAGUAAUUUUCAAUUUUUCUUUAAUAUGAGCACUAUCAUACACACAACAUGAUGAAUUGUCAACCAUAUGUACAUUUUCUGUUAAACUUGCAGAUGUGAAGGGUCAGUUUAGAUUAAAAAAUAAAAAAGAAAAAACGACGGCAGUGAACAACCAUAAUACAUGUACCUGCCCCCACCGAUCCAAUUCUUCCCAAUAUUGACUUGUAAAUACUCAUUAUAGGUGUGUAGGUUACGAGAACUUUAAUGUUCUAAACAUUUUUCAAAUAUAAAUCUUAUAGAAAAAAUAGUAGUUAACCAACAAAACCACCACCCAAUCAAAUAGAUGACGCACUCCCAAUUUAAACCUAGAAACCAUGUCACAGCAACUAGAGAAAUUUGACGAUCAGUAGCUUAACAAAAACGAGACAAAUAUAAAAGAGCAAUUCACAAACUUAAAAAGUGGAACAUCACUAUUUAGCUAGCGCAGAACAUCGAAGUAAUUCAUCUAACCCACUACCCUUUUUUUCGGGGAGGGGGGAAGGGGGGGGGGGGGUUGGGGUCAUAAGGUAAUGUUAAAUCCCAUUUACCAGAUUAUAACAUUUCAUCCACACCCCUCUUCCUCUUUUAUUUUUCUGAAAUUCAGUUUAUUGACUCGUACAGAAGACAAGCUUGAUUCACAAAUAUGUAGAAAAAAAAUUCUGGACCACCCAAAAAAAUAUUAAUUCCUCCUUUAAGAGACACCCCAACAACAUGAUGCAGCCAUUAGUUGGAUUUAGAGAUAAAAACAGAUUUGCCGAAUAUAGGAGAAAAUAUUGGUUGUCAAGAGUAUAAUUAAAUAAACUGAUUUUCAGAUAGGAGAAUAAAGGAAGACCUAGUAACAAAACCCAGCUUAGGAAGUAACAGGGAGUCUUACCUCCAAUUCAUUGUGUAUCAGCUCCAGCUUUGAUUCCUGAAAAGCAACAAGCAGUCAGGAAAUAUAACACUCCAGAAAUGACACUAGACAACUAUAAAAGGCAUACUUGAUCUUGAAGUGCUUCAUUAAGCUGUGAAACCAAUGCAAGCCUAGUAGUUUCAAAAUUUUCUAGUUGAGUAACACAAUGCCUAAGGGCAUUCUCGUGUUCUUGCAUCUUUUCUACCAACUCUGAACCUUGCAGGCUUCCUGUCCAAUACAGAAGAACAGAUGCAAGAUAGUCAAAUUUUAUCAACAGUGAACAAGUUGCCAGUUGAUUGGUACAUCUAUUCCUAAUUUCUAUUCAUAACCUGAUACACACUUUGCAGAUAUAUGUAAUUUAGAGCUAUAAUGGUUAAGCUACAAUACUUUAAGAUGCAAAAAAAGAUCCUCUGUACAAUCUAGACUAGAUUUCACAUUUCACACAAUGCAAUAGCUAUCAACUGGCUCAGCAACAUCUUGCAAGUCAUUCAAAGCCCAAAACAGAAGCUUAAUGACAAGCAUGAAACUCUAUUUUGUGUAGAGGGAUCGACCUUGAUGAUUAAAAGAGUACCCUAGUGGUUAUUUCAUUUUCAUAUGCUAGUCAAGUUUAGAUUUUGAUACUUUGAAUCACCAACAACACCAUUAAAAAUCCACUCGGGUCAUGUACGAACAUGUUUACUACUUUAGAAUGUUAUGAAAUUUAAUGGAAUUUAUGUUGAGAUAUUUAUAUGCCAAAACAAAAUAUGGUAGGAUAAAUAUGGCAGAAAUCUUCUAGUUUUCUCUACCUGCUGACAACACAUGCUUUGCUAAAGUUCAUCUAUGCUUACAGUUUCAAGCCCAUAAUUAAGUUCAAAUCAGCCCCUAACACUAUUAGGAUGAGUUCUCAGCUGCUACAGCAGUAUGUUAGCUUCACCCCAGCCUAAUGACAGUAGAAUAACUGAUAUUUUCCUUAGGAUUUCUGGCUAAUUUGCUCCCCAUUUGUAUUUUACAUGAAGAUCUGUAAUUCAUUAUAUUUAAUGCCAACAUGUCAAAGUCCGGAUCCACUAUGAAUCAAUUUGCAAACUUGCACCUCCCACAUCAGAAACCGAAUAAUAAAAAUAUCAGCUAUGAACAUUCCAAGUGGAAAGAAAUUCUGAGAUUUUGUUUUGACUUGUGGCAUAGCAUACUUAAUAGAUGAUGAAAAAGAAUAGGCACAAAAGGUAGAGAGUGAACGUUAACAAAAUUCCAACUUAUGAAUUUUCUUGUUCUUCAAUGAGCAAAGAGGAUUGUCAAAUCAGUCAGAAGCUAUGUCCAUGUAAUUUAGCUGCUUAGACAAAGCCCCUCAAAGGGACUCAGGUAAUCCACAAAUGUAAGUUAGCUGCUUAGACAAAAUGCCUUCAACACCUGAGCUGUGACCUCCUCCUCCUCCCCCUCCCCCCCCCCCCCCCCCCCAAAAAAAAAAAAACACAGUUUCUUUUCUAGUAUUUUCAACAUCAGAGAGGUGCACCUUCUUGCAUCUUUUUUCUUUCCUUCUAUAGGAAAUCUAGCAUAAGAAAUCUUUGACUGUCACUCACACAAAUGUUGUCCAUGAUAUCAUGUAAUCACAUGUUCUAAACAAUCCAAAAACCCCCAACUCCAAAAUCUACAGCAGUUGAUCAGUGGACUGCCACUGAAUCUAGCACUGAUCGCAAAUUCAGAUUCCUUCCAUCACUAUCAAACAUCUCUUUCAAACAUGGGAUGCCACAAUCCAGUCACUUCUCCUAUACCAUCAUAUCAGGAAUUCUUAUCCUGGAUAUCCUGUGAUACUGAAACUCUGCUAAACACUGUCCCAUAAUCCAAACGGCAAGUUCAUUCAAUUCCUUCAUCUUGCAUGACAUACUUUAUCUGCACUGCGACACCUAGAUUCCACUGAUGGAUUUGUAAACCUGACUUCUCAUUCUUCAUACUUCAUACUUAAAACUAGAAAUGACUUCUGACUUCCUCCCUGAAGGAACCUGACAAACCAUUUCUUGGUGAAGUCUUGGUUGAUAACUACAACAUUCUCUAACCCAUAAUCCUCCAUGAUUCUAAGCACUGGUACUUGCUAAUUGAUAAUCAAAUGUUACUUGCAACUACCAUUUGGUUCUUCACAAAUGCAAGCUCUUCAGCUUCUGAUUCUUUUUUAGCCACAGUUCCAGGGGUCCCGAACAUGUAAAAAAUGAGUAAAAGAGGUAAAAGUAAAAAUAAAAAAGGAAGGCAACCUUGAUCACACUAAUCCAACUUCCCCUUUAUCUAAUCUUUUUCCAGAAAGUUAAGCUUCAUAGAGAGAAAAGAUAAUCAUUAUACAAUCGGAAUUGGAUUAUGAAGUAUAUCCAGAAAAACCAGGAGAUGAGGGGCGCGAUAAUCACCAAAAGAAGCAAACUGGCCAAACAAAAGUAAAGGCCAAGUUUUCGUGCCCAUACAAAGCACCACAUAGCCAUCCACAGUAGUAUGACAGCUAAAUUGCUAGCGCAGCUAAAGCUUCAAAGUGUACCUGUUCUUGUCACAGAGAUGAUCAGAAGCAGUGUUUGGUAACCUCCUAACAACUUCAGUUAUUUGGUCAAAAACCUACCAGUGUUUUUUUUUUUUUUUUUGGAGAAGUUAAUGAUAUGUUUAAGAUGCACCAAGAGGGUACAGCUAAAGAUAAACUAGUAAUCUUCUUACACAGUUAUGAGCCCCAUCUAAAACAAAAGGUAUACUAUAAGCUGAGUAGUCCAAAGGUAAGGGCCAGAGUUGACAUUUUCGUUGUUCCUAAUUUUGAUGGCCUCCAUAGAAAAAUGUAUUUUACCUCUCUCCUUGGUUUCCAAAAGAUACACAAUGGGAACAUACACGUGGAAAUUCACAAGGCACGCAUUUACUUUCAGCUCUUUCAGGUGUAACUCCAACUAGCAAGAUUUUCUUAACCAUGCCAGAAGCACACCAAGCAAAUAUUUCCGUUGCUUGAUAAGGGAAAGGUACGCAUUACAAUACCUGUGUAACCUAACUACCAUAAUUAUAUUCAAUACACACUAGAUCAGUUUUUUACCAGAAACCAGAAGGGAAAAGUAUAAUUGAAAUCUUGCAGAAUCGCAACCAAACAAGAGAGCAGUCUGAAAACUCGUAACACCACGUACCCACUUUCUAGAUUGUGCAUGAAACUCAAAUCCUCAACAUGUACUUAAUCAACCCUCUGAGUGCACUCAGAAAAGUCAAAUUACUACAAAACUAGAACAAAAAAAUUGAAUGUCAAAAACUGAUAAACACAACUCAAUUGGUGUCACACUGAGUAAACAGUGAUGCAUGACCAAUCACUCCCAGAAGGCUUCCUCUUCCUAUGUAGGCAUCCAAAAGGAUGUAACCAUAAAAAAUUUAACUGAUUCACAGUCAGGACUAAAUGAAUUUCCAAAAAAAUAUUCAACUCAUUAACAAUAUAAGUGUUUCUUGGAAUAUGAUGGAUUUGGACCUUGGAUGAUCCAAUCAUUGCAUGUGCCCAAUUGACUUGAGCUUAGCAUAUGCCAAACAAAUUUUGGGCCCUAACGUUGUUUGGCCUUUACGGCUUCAAAUAAGUGUAGUUCACAAAUUUGGCACUUGUUCUCAUUGCUGCUGAAAAAGCUGCAAGGAUGCCUUUGUCGUUCCCCUUAUGAUGGUGGAAUAACUAUCAACUUCAUUAUUGUGGUAAAAGGUAAUACUGGCAAGAGGGGGGAGAGAGGAAGAGAGAGUGGGAGAGAGACAACGGAAUCCUUUGGUAGGUCAGUUUCAUUUAGCCACAUUAAACGACUGAGGGAAGCUGGUCUGUGACAAGCACAUCUGUUGUAGUGUUGUCAUAGUGCUGUGUCAAAUCGAGAAUUUUCAACAACUGAAGGUAACUAAGAACAACAUUAAACAGGCAAGGAAGUUGGUCAACAGGCUCAAGUAAAAGAGCUUACAAAAAAUUAGAUACUUUACCGGUUCAAACUGUAGGAAGAUCAGGAAAAGUUUAAACCAUUUCCCACAGGAUUAUCAAAUAGCAAUGCAGAGGCCAGAAGCCUGACUAUGUGCAUUAUAGGAAUUGUUCAAAGAUCACCAAUAAGUUCCUUUCUGUAACCCUAAGGAACAUGAUGUUCUACCAACUUUUCUGGGCCUAGAUUUUUUCAAUUGUACCUUCAAAUAAUUUGUAGAUGUAGGGUAUCAUUUCUCCAUUUUACCACUUGAGACUCAAGGGGUUCACUCGUUCCAUAUUGAGUCUUCCACAAUUCCCAGAACCCAUUCAAGUUCCCAUACACAUAGAACUUUUACUUUAAAAUACAUUCCAAAAACUUCUUUAUAAGAUUUACAUGACCAACAUACAACUCUGUGCCCAUACAAACCUUACUAGUGUAAGAAUAGAAACCCAAAUAGGAACUAUAACACUACAUUAUAAAAUAAUGUUGAGAUCGAUUCUAAAAACCAGUUACUCUAGGAUUAAAGUUUAAAUGAGUAUAAUGGAAUAAAAUUGUCCUCAAUUUAAAAGUGUUACAAGUACUUACCAUGUAACAAGAUGUAAUCAAACUUGGACAUUAUAAAAUGAGAACAAAUGAACAAUAUUCCAACUAUUCAACCUAAUCAUCAUUUUGUCAAAUAUAUUACUAACAAGCUAUUAGUUCCUCAAAAUAUAAUACAACACAGUAAUGGCAUGUCAUUAACUUAACCUACAGGAAGUAAUUCUUUAUCACCAGUUUUGCGUCCAGACAGAUACACUACUCCAACCUGUUUAAUUAGCAACAUUAUCCGAAUAAUUAAGUUUGACGAUUUUGGAAUGGUGGAUUUUAUGGAUUUUCAUGCAGUUUCACUUAUAAAUUUGAUGUAUUCUUAAAUUCUAAAAUAAUAAUUCUAGUGCCAUGUCUUCUUAGAAUUCCAGGAUUCAAAGGAGAUUUAUAUUAUUGCAGCAAAUGCUGAAUAGAUAGUCCUACAGGCACAUAAAGUCACAUGACACAGCACAAUAGCUUGGAGGCCAGAUAGGCCUAGGGCUUUAAAACUCGCAGUCAAUAGCAAAAUUAUAGGCAAAUAGCAGGUACCAAAAUUCACUAAAAGUCAGAUC